RNAcentral lists this ribosomal RNA (448 nucleotides) under uncultured bacterium. RNAcentral's name for it is "bacterial SSU rRNA". It matches the Rfam family "Bacterial small subunit ribosomal RNA", at positions 330 to 792 of the family's 1533-position model. The record is from RNAcentral.
UCCAGACUCCUACGGGAGGCAGCAGUCGGGAAUAUUGCACAAUGGGGGGAACCCUGAUGCAGCGACGCCGCGUGAGGGAAGAAGGUUUUCGGAUUGUAAAGCUCUAUCAGCAGGGAAGAAAGAAAUGACGGUACCUGACUAAGAAGCCCCGGCUAACUACGUGCCAGCAGCCGCGGUAAUACGUAGGGGGCAAGCGUUAUCCGGAUUUACUGGGUGUAAAGGGAGCGUAGACGGCGAUGCAAGUCUGAAGUGAAAGGCGGGGGCCCAACCCCCGGACUGCUUUGGAAACUGUAUGGCUGGAGUGCAGGAGAGGUAAGUGGAAUUCCUAGUGUAGCGGUGAAAUGCGUAGAUAUUAGGAGGAACACCAGUGGCGAAGGCGGCUUACUGGACUGUAACUGACGUUGAGGCUCGAAAGCGUGGGGAGCAAACAGGAUUAGAUACCCCCGUA